GGGCCUAUAGCUCAGGCUGGUUAGAGCGCAUCCCUGAUAAGGAUGAGGUCCCUGGUUCAAAUCCAGGUAGGCCCA
Molecule: transfer RNA, 75 nt
Filed under: Acidimicrobiia bacterium
Lineage: Bacteria; Bacillati; Actinomycetota; Acidimicrobiia
Also listed under: 1 other name
Description: tRNA-Ile
Rfam family: tRNA
About the family: Transfer RNA (tRNA) molecules are approximately 80 nucleotides in length.
Source: RNAcentral